AUGAAAUGCAAAAACUGCAGGCUGAAGCACCACAUAUUGUUGUUGGUACACCCGGGAGAGUGUUUGAUAUGUUAAACAGAAGAUACCUUUCUCCAAAAUGGAUCAAAAUGUUUGUUUUGGAUGAAGCAGAUGAAAUGUUGAGCCGUGGUUUUAAGGAUCAAAUCUAUGAGAUUUUCCAAAAACUAAACACAAGUAUCCAGGUUGUGUUGCUUUCUGCCACAAUGCCAACUGAUGUGUUGGAAGUGACCAAAAAAUUCAUGAGAGAUCCAAUUCGAAUUCUGGUGAAAAAGGAAGAAUUGACCCUUGAAGGAAUCAAACAGUUUUAUAUUAAUGUUGAGAGAGAGGAGUGGAAGUUGGAUACACUUUGUGACUUGUACGAGACACUGACCAUCACGCAGGCUGUUAUUUUUCUCAAUACGAGGCGCAAGGUGGACUGGCUGACUGAGAAAAUGCAUGCCAGAGAUUUCACAGUUUCUGCUCUGCAUGGUGACAUGGACCAGAAGGAGAGAGAUGUUAUCAUGAGGGAAUUCCGGUCAGGGUCAAGUCGUGUUCUGAUCACUACUGACUUGUUGGUAAGUCUCUUAAUGCUUUUUUAAAAUCUACCAAAAGUUAGCUUUUUGGGGGGAAGGUUUUUAAGUAACCUUUGCCAGCUUGGGCUAUUUGGAAGAGUAAAAGAAGACCACACUCCACAGUGGGCUAUAUCACUUAGUAUAGUUCGCUACUCUUUUGUGGCCUACAUGACAGGUGUCAAGUUUUUUUGAAUCAGAAUUUUUAAAACAUGCCAUUGUGUUUCAGGCUCGCGGGAUUGAUGUGCAACAAGUGUCUUUGGUUAUAAAUUAUGAUCUACCUACCAAUCGUGAAAACUAUAUUCACAGGUGAGAAGCCAGCAUCUUGGCUGUAUGGAAAAAAUUCAUACGUUUUUCUACUGUGAUUUGUAUGAAAGGUAACAUCAAAUCAAGGAAUAGAUUCAGUAAAGUCAGUAGUGUUCGGUAAGAUGAUGUAAUUAAAUUUGUACUAGGGAAGGUUGAUGAGAACAAAGUGGGAAAACUUGUAAACAUUGCCCAGAUUGUGGACAUAGGUUUUUUUUUCCACAAUUGUUGGUCUUAGCUUAUGCUUGAGCUUUUAGUGAUGUUGUGUCCAUGUGUUUUUCUUGGUGAUUUUUUCUAUAGUUGGGAUUUUCUUGGUGUCGCUGGUAGCAAUUUGAGUGAACCCUGGUUUAGUUAUAGUGGCUUUAUCCCUAAAUAAAUUGAAUUGUACUUUGUUAUAUGAUGUAAAAAAAGACUUUUUAAAAAAUACAGGAGUCGAUAGCAGCAGUUGAUGACGAGAUGGCACUCAGAAACGGCGUUGACGUAAUUUA
Molecule: small RNA, 1357 nt
Filed under: Pongo abelii (Sumatran orangutan)
Lineage: Eukaryota; Metazoa; Chordata; Mammalia; Primates; Hominidae
Description: retained intron
Rfam family: Small nucleolar RNA SNORA4 (bases 600-740)
Source: RNAcentral